GUAGGAUUGCUCUUUGUUUUAAUAACUUUCUCCUCUUUGAAAUGCCAUUGUUUCUGGUCUGUUUUUAGAUGAUGAAGGAUAGACACUGUGAUGGGCACUAAAGCAUGGACUUGAAGUGUGCACUCUGGUGGCAGCAUAUCCAACAGCUGUGUUGCAACAGAGAAGGAAAUGUGAAAUAUCCCAGGGAUUGGCUGGCUACCUGAAGGACCCCAGUAUCUGCCUUUCAUGGCAAGUGACCUGAGCAUUGAUGUGCCCAUGGUAGCAGUUCAGGUGGGUGUGUUACCUGUAUUUGCAGACUUUUCUUGUUCUCUGCAUUGUACCAGAAACUGCACGUGUCUUGUACAAUCUGUUUAGCCCUCUUGUAAUAUCUGGUUUUCCUAAUAAACAUCUUUUGAAGUCUUUGCUUUGUGGCUGAUUUCCAAGGGUCCAAGUUCCCAUGUGUUAGGUACAUCCUUCUGAUGUAUUCUUUGGAUCAUGCAAGGAGGAGAAGAGAAACUCAUAACUGCUUCCUUUGAAUAAAAACCUUAUUUGAAGCUGCUGUGUCCACACAAGACCUUUGCUGGUAGUUUCUCCGUUUUGAGUAUUUUCUUGGAAUGUCCUGAUGCUUAAGAUCAGACAGAAAACCCUUGUAAGCAAAAUCAAAGAAAUUUCUUAUAAAGAAAAAUUAGUUCUGAAUGUUGGUUUGGAAGAUGAUGGUGAAACAAAUGGGAAGUUGUGAUCUUAGGCUUUUGUUCCUGUGAAGUGCCAAGUCCUGUGGGGAAGCUUCAGCCACAUGAAGGUGAACUACCUUGUGCUUAUAUGAAUACCAAGAGUUUGGCUUCAUCCUGGCUUGCUAGUUGUUAUUUCAAAGGAGGACUGAGAAGAGAGUAGAAUGCACCCAACAGUGUGUUUUCAAUAUUCCUCCAUUUGGUUCUUUCCAGGGAGGAUGGAAGGUAGCCUGUGUGCCCAUGCAGAUCAGGUUUCAAGAAGUGAAAAUUUGUGUGCAUGUGUAUAUUGACUUCAAAAUCCUUUUUUUUUUCCUAUAGCAGUGUUCUGGCAUGUCGUGGAGAUCAGUGUGGCUUUGUUUUUCAGUUCAGCUGGGCAGACAUUACCAGAAUCCCUCAGAAAGACACUGUUUUUUCCUAUGCUUAAUCCUUUUUACGUGCAGCAUUGUACUAAUCUUGCUGAAUAGCAGGAAUGUAGUUACACCUACUACAGAAGUGUAAAUUAAGAAGCUGGCAUGAGGUUAUUUUGCAGACUUGGCCAUGAAAACAGAAUUAGAGUUAAUCCUAUAACAAAUAUGUUUGGCAACUUCAAAAAACAUCCAAAACCAAACAUGUUUGGCAACUUAAAAUCCAAGAGUUUUGAUGUUUGAUUCAGCUCUAAGCCUCCUCAGACAAACAAAGUCUUCUCAAAUGUCUCGUUUUGGCACAUUGUGGUGUCAGUGCUGUGUGUGCAGUCCCUGAGCACAGGCCCUGGUGUGGCCUGCUGGCAGGCAGCUUGCUCCCUGGGAACAGGGUGGUGUGAUGUUGCAUUCAAUCAAAAUUCAGUGAAUGUCUCCUAUUAUGGAAAAAGUUUAUCCUGUAAAUAACCAAGCACAUCACUUUCAUGGGGAGAGAAGAGACACUUUUCAACUAGGACUGGCCUGAAGGAAUCAUUGGCUACAGAUGAGGAGCCAUCCCCAGCCCUGCAAGUCCACUAGAACAGGAAUAAACUUGCUUUAUGUUUGUGUUUGAUUGUGUGAAUUCCUGCUUUUUCCAAAGGCACCUGUGAAUUGGAAAUGAAUCUUGUGUGUAAGUUGUAUUUGUGUGAGACCCCACCUGCAGUGCUGCAUCCCCUUCUGUGAGGUCCCCAGCACAAGGAGGACAAGGAACUGCUGCACAGAGUCCAGAAGAGGCCACUGAGGUGCUCUGAGGGCUGGAGCCCCUCUGUUCUGGAGCCAGGCUGGGAGAGCUGGGGGUGUUCACCUGGGGAAGGAUUGGGGCAGACCUCAGAGCACCUUCCAGUGCCUAAAGGGGCUCCAGGAGAGCUAGAACAGAGUUAACAUUUUCAACAUUUUACUUCUUUUUUUUGCCCCCAACAAUUUAACUUGAUCAGUCAUAGACAAAAUUCUUCAUGGUGUGCAGUUCUUGUGUUUUAAUAAUUAACAAGCAGCUCUUUACAGGUGAUUUUAUUGCCACCUGCUGGAGUUCAAAUAAAAAGUCAGGUUUUUUUUUUAAUAUUUUGGCUGCCUGAAAUGCCCUUGGAUGAGGGCAGGUGCUUUAGGGAUGUACUUUAAGAAAUGCAGGCUAACCUGUCCCUUAUCAAAGCACUCAUUGACUCAUCAUUUUGUUUGUAAAGAUCAAAAGACCAAUAUUUGAAUUUUAUCUUUAUAAGGAAAUCAGAAAAAUUUGGCAGUGGACAGAAUUGGAAAAUAGUGUGCCAAUGUUGGUGCUGUCAGCUGAGGUGGCAGAUGGAGCCUGGGCUGCAGCAUUGGGAAUGGGGACAUCACAGAGACAGGACAGUGCUGGGAAACUGGGACCUCCAGCUCCAGAAACAAAUGUUUCCAGACAACUGCAGCAGCCUUGGUGAUAAUUUUGUGAGAUUUUUGCAUUCCUGGGCCUGCCCUUCAAUCAAGAUGGGCUUUGGAAUGGAACUGGACAACUCUGCAGUAUAAAUUUGUUACUAAUCUAUUCUGAGCCCUGCUGCUCUGAGCUCCACUGGUCAGACUCUGCAAGAGCCAACACUGCUGGCAGCCUGGGUCACUGGGAGUUGGUUGUGUCAGUGCUGAUGAUUUUUGGGUGACUGUGGAAAAUGUGCCUGGAAAGCUCUAGCCACGAUCACUACAAAUUAGCUUCUUGUCCCAUUGUGACUUGGGGGUGUAGCUGGAAAAUGAGUGCAAAGUUUCCUUUGGCAUGGGGGGCUUGGAGGAACCCACUUGCAACUGAUGUAAAUACAUUAACUAAAGGACAGCAGGUGACAAUGAUUAUUUUUGUGUUGAUAAUGGCAUGAACUGUCAGUUGUGAUCCAAUUUAAACAUGUGCCCUGUGCUCACUCCCAGUGCUCCAAAAAUGUAUGCUUGGUUUCUGCCUUAGACUUCACUGUUUCCACUUCUGACUUCUGAUGUUUUUUCCUGUAUUUUCUCUCUAUGCAGCUUCUUUUUCUUUAUGAUGAACUGGAUUUCCUGCAGAGUCUUGCAAAACAUGAAAAAUAAUAAAAGCUCUUUGUCAUGACCUCCCCAGAGCUUUACACACCUCAGGUUUUAGCAGUAGUUACUAGAGACCCCUCUUCCCGUCCCUCAGGGACCGUGUGUCUCCAGAGAUGGGCAGGAUUGGGUGAGGAGGGAACACAGAGGAGGCCACAGAGAUGCUCUGAGGGCUGGAGCACCUGUGCUGUGGAGAUGGGCUGGAAGAGCUGGGGCUGUUCAGCCUGGAGAAGGCUCCAGGGAGCCCUUAGAGCCCCUUCCAAAGCCUAAAGGGGCUCCAGGAGAGCUGAGAGGGACUUUAGACAAGGAUCUGGAGGGACAAGGGGGAAUGGCUUCCCACUGCCAGAGGGCAGGGUUAGAUGGGAUAUUGGAGAGAAAAUUUUCUCUAUGAGGGUGGGCAGGCCCUGGCACAGGGUGCCCAGAGAAGCUG
Molecule: long non-coding RNA, 3593 nt
Organism: Motacilla alba alba
Lineage: Eukaryota; Metazoa; Chordata; Aves; Passeriformes; Motacillidae
Exons: 3
Source: RefSeq, a predicted model, not a curated record